Molecule: ribosomal RNA, 484 nt
Filed under: Escherichia coli
Lineage: Bacteria; Pseudomonadati; Pseudomonadota; Gammaproteobacteria; Enterobacterales; Enterobacteriaceae
Description: bacterial SSU rRNA
Rfam family: Bacterial small subunit ribosomal RNA
Source: RNAcentral
AGUGGCGGACGGGUGAGUAAUGUCUGGGAAACUGCCUGAUGGAGGGGGAUAACUACUGGAAACGGUAGCUAAUACCGCAUAACGUCGCAAGACCAAAGAGGGGGACCUUCGGGCCUCUUGCCAUCGGAUGUGCCCAGAUGGGAUUAGCUUGUUGGUGGGGUAACGGCUCACCAAGGCGACGAUCCCUAGCUGGUCUGAGAGGAUGACCAGCCACACUGGAACUGAGACACGGUCCAGACUCCUACGGGAGGCAGCAGUGGGGAAUAUUGCACAAUGGGCGCAAGCCUGAUGCAGCCAUGCCGCGUGUAUGAAGAAGGCCUUCGGGUUGUAAAGUACUUUCAGCGGGGAGGAAGGGAGUAAAGUUAAUACCUUUGCUCAUUGACGUUACCCGCAGAAGAAGCACCGGCUAACUCCGUGCCAGCAGCCGCGGUAAUACGGAGGGUGCAAGCGUUAAUCGGAAUUACUGGGCGUAAAGCGCACGCAG